CUGGGUGUAGCUCAGUCUGGCAGAGCGCACGGUUCGGGUCCGUGAGGCCGCAGGUUCAAAUCCUGCCACCCAGA
This 74-nucleotide transfer RNA is filed under the name Pseudomyxococcus hansupus. RNAcentral's name for it is "Myxococcus hansupus tRNA-Pro". It matches the Rfam family "tRNA". Rfam says of the family: Transfer RNA (tRNA) molecules are approximately 80 nucleotides in length. Their secondary structure includes four short double-helical elements and three loops (D, anti-codon, and T loops). Further hydrogen bonds mediate the characteristic L-shaped molecular structure. tRNAs have two regions of fundamental functional importance: the anti-codon, which is responsible for specific mRNA codon recognition, and the 3' end, to which the tRNAs corresponding amino acid is attached (by aminoacyl-tRNA synthetases). tRNAs cope with the degeneracy of the genetic code in two manners: having more than one tRNA (with a specific anti-codon) for a particular amino acid; and 'wobble' base-pairing, i.e. permitting non-standard base-pairing at the 3rd anti-codon position. The record is from RNAcentral. Lineage: Bacteria; Pseudomonadati; Myxococcota; Myxococcia; Myxococcales; Myxococcaceae.